GACGAACGCUGGCGGCGUGCCUAAUACAUGCAAGUCGAGCGAGCUUGCCUAGAUGAAUUUGGUGCUUGCACCAGAUGAAACUAGAUACAAGCGAGCGGCGGACGGGUGAGUAACACGUGGUAACCUGCCCAAGAGACUGGGAUAACACCUGGAAACAGAUGCUAAUACCGGAUAACAACACUAGACGCAUGUCUAGAGUUUAAAAGAUGGUUCUGCUAUCACUCUUGGAUGGACCUGCGGUGCAUUAGCUAGUUGGUAAGGCAACGGCUUACCAAGGCAAUGAUGCAUAGCCGAGUUGAGAGACUGAUCGGCCACAUUGGGACUGAGACACGGCCCAAACUCCUACGGGAGGCAGCAGUAGGGAAUCUUCCACAAUGGACGCAAGUCUGAUGGAGCAACGCCGCGUGAGUGAAGAAGGGUUUCGGCUCGUAAAGCUCUGUUGGUAGUGAAGAAAGAUAGAGGUAGUAACUGGCCUUUAUUUGACGGUAAUUACUUAGAAAGUCACGGCUAACUACGUG
This 518-nucleotide ribosomal RNA is filed under the name uncultured bacterium. Its description in RNAcentral is "partial 16S ribosomal RNA". It matches the Rfam family "Bacterial small subunit ribosomal RNA", at positions 28 to 507 of the family's 1533-position model. The record is from RNAcentral.